GACGAACGCUGGCGGCGUGCUUAACACAUGCAAGUCGAACGGAAAGGCCCUGCUUUUGUGGGGUGCUCGAGUGGCGAACGGGUGAGUAACACGUGAGUAACCUGCCCUUGACUUUGGGAUAACUUCAGGAAACUGGGGCUAAUACCGGAUAGGAGCUCCUGCUGCAUGGUGGGGGUUGGAAAGUUUCGGCAGUUGGGGAUGGACUCGCGGCUUAUCAGCUUGUUGGUGGGGUAGUGGCUUACCAAGGCUUUGACGGGUAGCCGGCCUGAGAGGGUGACCGGCCACAUUGGGACUGAGAUACGGCCCAGACUCCUACGGGAGGCAGCAGUGGGGAAUAUUGCACAAUGGGCGGAAGCCUGAUGCAGCAACGCCGCGUGCGGGAUGACGGCCUUCGGGUUGUAAACCGCUUUCGCCUAUGACGAAGCGUGAGUGACGGUAAUGGGUAAAGAAGCACCGGCUAACUACGUG
RNAcentral lists this ribosomal RNA (468 nucleotides) under uncultured bacterium. Its description in RNAcentral is "partial 16S ribosomal RNA". It matches the Rfam family "Bacterial small subunit ribosomal RNA", at positions 28 to 507 of the family's 1533-position model. The record is from RNAcentral.